RNAcentral lists this long non-coding RNA (905 nucleotides) under Homo sapiens (human). RNAcentral describes it as "HSALNT0350347". Lineage: Eukaryota; Metazoa; Chordata; Mammalia; Primates; Hominidae. The record is from RNAcentral.
GUGCUGGGAUGACAGGUGUGAGCUACUGCAUCCAGCCUCAAAAUCUUUCCGAUGACUGUAUCCAUUCUUAUGUAUGUCUCAUAUUUCCUUCACUAUGUCUUGCAGUAUAACCAUGUUCUGUGUGGCUAUGGGGGAUACCACAUGAAUCUCUGUACCUCGUUACCCUCAUUGAAAGCUGAUACCAUGUGAACGGUUCUCUGGACCUUCUUUCGGAUGCUUCCAGUUCCACAAAAUAGGCACUAAAAAAUUCAUUUUCUUAUGUCAGAGUCCCAGUUAUCAUUGUUAUGGUUUUGAGAAAGCUAUGAACUUUGCUUAUAUAAAUACUGAACAUUUUUCUUAAGGUUCUGCCUCUAGUACCAUGUUGCUGAAGUACCAGCCCUGGCUGGUAUACUCUGCAAACUUCUGACUUUCUAGUUUGACCCCCUAAAAAUAAAAACUUGGAAUCCUGAAUUUAAAAAAAGCUGAGAAGGUUUUACAUUGCAGGAAUUCUCAGAGCUUACACUAUGCUACUGUGCUUCGAAGAUCUCUAAGAGAGUUAAAAGACGCCCCGCUUUCCAAGAUUUUGACAAGGAACAAUGUAUCUACGGAGCAUCUUGAAGCAGUCACAUUCAGUGCAGAUACUUGGGGAGAUGCUUAUCUCCUUUAUAUGGUUUUACAAGGCCUUUCUCAACCCAACCUCCUCUCACCCAUCUGACCACAUCUCUCUGUUCCGCAUUUUUUAUUUAUUUAUUUAUUUAUUUUUUUGAGACGGAGUCUCGCUCUGUUGCCCAGGGUGGAGUGCAGUGGCGCGAUCUCAGCUCACUGCAAGCUCUGCCUCCUGGGUUCACGCCAUUCUCCUGCCUCAGCCUCCCAAGUAGCUGGGACAACAGGCGCCCACCACCACACCCGGCUAAUUUUUUUUUUUG